AUUGAACGCUGGCGGCAGGCCUAACACAUGCAAGUCGAACGGUAACAGGAAGAAGCUUGCUUCUUUGCUGACGAGUGGCGGACGGGUGAGUAAUGUUUGGGAAACUGCCUGAUGGAGGGGGAUAACUACUGGAAACGGUAGCUAAUACCGCAUAACGUCGCAAGCCCAAAGAGGGGGACCUUCGGGCCUCUUGCCAUCGGAUGUGCCCAGAUGGGAUUAGCUAGUAGGUGGGGUAACGGCUCACCUAGGCGACGAUCCCUAGCUGGUCUGAGAGGAUGACCAGCCACACUGGAAGUGAGACACGGUCCAGACUCCUACGGGAGGCAGCAGUGGGGAAUAUUGCACAAUGGGCGCAAGCCUGAUGCAGCCAUGCCGCGUGUAUGAAGAAGGCCUUCGGGUUGUAAAGUACUUUCAGCGGGGAGGAAGGGAGUAAAGUUAAUACCUUUGCUCAUUGACGUUACCCGCAGAAGAAGCACCGGCUAACUCCGUG
This 490-nucleotide ribosomal RNA is filed under the name uncultured bacterium. RNAcentral describes it as "partial 16S ribosomal RNA". It matches the Rfam family "Bacterial small subunit ribosomal RNA", at positions 30 to 507 of the family's 1533-position model. The record is from RNAcentral.